UUUUCCUGCAGCUCCUGGUGUUUUGCCAACAUAUAUUUUAACUACUUAUAUCUUUCCGACGUAAACUAAGAGUUUUCACGAUAAAUAAAUGCUGCUUCAUUCCUUUAAUCUUUCAUUAUAACCGGCCGGAGAAACAAGCCGGGGUUAAGCGUUAAUUAACCUGUGCUGUGGAAACUUCAUAAACUAUUUAAACAGCUAAACAGUCCAGAGUUAUGUGCGAUCCAUUUUUCGCUCCGUCAAGUUAAGAAUUAUAGCCAGAUAAUGGUGUUAAUGCUUGUCCUAGACAAGCUCUAGGAUUUCCUCCUGUCUUUGAAAGCUGAUCUACUCAGAACGUAUGCCGGGUACUCAUUUUACCGACCAUGGAUGGAUGGAAGGCUGAGUGGAGCUUGACCCCUUUUACCGGAGAUUCGACUUCCUCCUUCUGUUGGAAUCAAACUCUGGCCGUGAGCAGAGCUUCAGCUGCGUUACCGCCGCUUACCACUCUGCGCCACAGAGGAUCUUCGUACAAACUCUAGAGUACCAGAACGCAGAUGCAGAAAUUGGCUGGGAACAGAUUCAAGAAAAAGCUGCCUUAGAUGGAACUAUUGCCAGAAGAUACAUAAUUUAUCUCUAUACUCACCUGUUGCUAAAUUAGAUGAUGCUGACAGGUACCAGGGACAGGUUCUUUUUAGUACUGACCCCUCUCCUGUAAACUCCAUGUGUCCCUUUCUCUUGUGACCCUCAAGCAACCUCUGAAGAAGUUUUUGUCCAAAACUUUUUAAUUAAUCUUACUUUUGGUCCCUUAUUUUUGUAUGUGUGUUUAAAAAUAUGUUUGUUCAAACAUUUUUAUUGUAAGCUCUCUUGUGAAGGUUUGCCAUAAAAGGCAGGUAGAAAUAUAUGAAAUAAACAUGAUUUUUAAAAGGCCUUUUAAACAAAACAAAAAUUGCCCAGGCUUUCCAGCAAGAUGGUUUUAAUUGCUGUUGUACACUUCUGUUGCAUCUUACUGAUCUGCAGUGUUCUGCUGCUUUUUGUGUUUUUUUAGUAUUAUUUUUAUUUAUUUUCUUAUUUUAGUAUGUGAGUCACCCUGGGACUUUUACCCUGAAGGGUAGAAUAUAAAAAUGCUGACUAGAUAAAAUAAAAAAUGAAGCACAAAGAAGGAAGAUAAGGGUGGCAUUUCA
This is a long non-coding RNA of Rhineura floridana, 1157 nucleotides long. RefSeq lists it as uncharacterized. NCBI's taxonomy places the organism in Eukaryota, Metazoa, Chordata, Lepidosauria, Squamata, Rhineuridae. The transcript is spliced from 3 exons. The record is from RefSeq and is a predicted model, not a curated record.